AACCCACUCCAGUGUUCUUGCCUGGAGAAUCCCAGGGACGGGGGAGCCUGGUGGGCUGCCGUCUAUGGGGUCGCACAGAGUCGGACACGACUGAAGCGACUUAGCAGCAGCAGCAGCAUCUCUAGUACUGAAACCCAUGGGUAACCUUCCCAUAAAGAAGAAGGGUUUUAGUAAUACUUUACUCAAAGAAACAAUUUAUUCCUUAAAUUAUGUUUUUUCCUAGUGACUAACACUGAUUCUGAGGCAUAAAGAGAAUAAUUUAUUGUACAGAAAACUGCCAAUGUAUAUAAUGCCAAAAAAUUGUACUGGAACAUUAAACAUGGUUAGCAUUUUCAAGGGCUUCCCUGGUGGCUCAGUCAGUAAAGAUCUGCCUGCAAUGCAGGAGACCUAGGUUCGAUCCCUGGGUUGGGAAGAUCCCCUGGAGGAGGGCAUGGCAACCCACUCCAGUAUUCUUGCCUGGAGAAUUCCCAUGGACAGAGGAGCCUGGUGGCCUGCAGAACGUGGGGUCUCAAAGAGUCGGACACAACUGAGCAACUAAGCACAGCACAGCAUUCUCAAAACACUAAUAGAUAAUGAGGAAUAAAUAAUCUAGACAGUCUCUUGUGGGAAGGGAAACUACUCUGUCAUUUUACUUCAACAGUUUAUUAGAGGAGGUGGAAAAUAGCUAGAUUUACAAAUAGUGAGACCUGGAAAUAAUAUUCCAAGUUAUAGAGUCCAAUAGGCUGUUGCAUUAUUUCAGGUAAAUGUUCAAAAAUCAACUUCAUAGGGCAGCACUGAUGAUAUUUACUGACCUCAGGGGGGGAAAAGUCAACAAGUGACUUACUCGAUUUAAGAGAAGAAAAAUUAUAUUUUAUGUUACAAUUAAGUAAGUAGGGUAGGAUGAUAAUUUUAUAUAGAAAACCAUAUAAAUUUACACAUAUCUCCGCAUAUAAAUACAACAUGUGUACACAGACACAUGACAUAAACCUAUGGUUUUGUAUUAUGAGCAUACCAGAUUCCAGCUGAUUUCUACAUACUCAAAUCUAGGAAACUUGAGGUUUAGGGAAAUCCACAUUCAAAAGACAUGAAUCUUUUCCCAGAUUCUUUGGUUCUAAGAUAAACACAGUGGCAUAAAGUGUGAGAAAAACAUGUAAGUACAGCAAUGAAAAGAACUGGCAUGAUAAUCAGUGUUCUAAAAUAAUGUACUGAAAAAGCCCUAAAAGUGAAUAUUAGCUCCUUUAGUCAGCUUCUAGGGAUAAGAAUUUUACUUGGCUUGUUCUGACUACAGUUAACUUUUAUAAAUUGAAAUGCAAAUUUAUCUAGUUUGGUCAUUUUUUGCAACUAAGAAAACAACUUCAGACUUUCUGAUGCAAAUAAAUCACAGGUAGCCUUACAGAGAAGCAGAUAUUGCACAAGGAACAGCUGUAUGAUACAUAGGACUAUCUUGGGGUUUUCAAAGAGAUUCAAAUGUGAUAACAGUGGAAUACAUAUACUAACGUGAAUAUUGUAUAGCCAAUAUUUUCACUCUACGUUUCAUGAAAUUAUCGUGCUUCAUGUGUUAAAGUAAUACAGGUUAUCUUGUCAUUUUUGAGUGCCAGCAAUAAACAUCUUCCUCUUCCCUGUUCCAGGUUUGAGAUCAGAAGCAGAAGAGUAGAGUUAAAGGAAAAGUCAUGUAAUCAUAAAGAUAACAUGAAAGGUCACCAUUGAGAUUGGGGCUAAUUCCCCAGAAGUAGACCUAACCCACAUCAGUUAUCCUCAGGAUGUUGAUAAGCUCAUUUUUUGUGUUUGGUUAGCCUCAAGGGUGUCUCACCUAUAAUGUUUGGCCAAUGGGAUAUGUACCAUACCAAUAAUAUAUGACUUCUCAGCCAACUGCUAAUAUUUUAGAGAAAAGGAAUGAUACCAGGGAUUAAGUGGAUAAUAUAUCAUGGAACCCACAAUUUUUUAAAACAGAGGUUUCUUGUUCUUUUACACAUAGGGGAGAAAAGGAAACUGCAUCUGUGCCAAACAUUCAGACAUGUAAGUUUCCUAAACUGCUGCUCUGCACUUGAAAACAAACUCCCAUCUUUUUAAUGGGUAGCAGGGCCAAAAUUCAGUCUCUCUAAAACCAGGCAUUUAACAUCCCAUUUUAAGUGAUUUUCAGUUCCUUCCAUUCUGAGUUUACAAACUCUCUUCACUAGCUGUGAUGUCAGUAUUCCUGUUAAAAAUUGAUGCAAUGUAAUUUUUUUUAACUUUAUAAACAUAUUUACAGAGCUUUUUUCUUAUACUCAAUGUUUAACUGCUCACCAUUUCAAACUUAAGAGAAAAGGAAAAGCGGCAUCACAGAGGCAGUAGAUAAGUAGCUUCUAAGGGCUUACACAACUUGUUCUUCAAGGCCUUAUUUUACAUAGGCGCAGGAGCUAGGAAAUCCCUUAAUUCGUGGUUAUUGGCUGCUCUCAUGCAUAGCGUUUUAUUUACUGUGUCAGCCAUAAAGUUUGUUCAGGUUUUCAUACCAUAUUACAGAAAAAUCAAAAUGAACUUUUUGCCCAACACAAUGUUAUACUCAUUGACAAAUGUAGGAAUCCAAAAUUCAAGGCUCUUAGUAACUUCAGAUUGUAGAUACCCUUUGCCCAUGUAUCUAUCAGAUACCUUUUCAUCAAAUUUAAUUUUCCAUUUUUUAAAAUUUAAGAAUAGUUUGGGGACACAAAAAGCACAUAGUUCAAAUAAUGCAUUUAAUCAUUUAACAUAUAUUUUCUUCUAGGCACUGGGAUACAUAAGGGAACAAAUCUGAACAAGGUUCCCUCCCUUUUUGCUGCUCCAAUUCUCACUGGUGGAAUACAAUAAACAGCAUAAUUGAGUAAAUUAUAUGAUAAAGCUGAAUAGGAUAACGGAAAUGGUGGGGGGUACAGACUAGGUUGCAGUAUUAAAUAGCAUAGUAACAGUAGGCUCUGGUAUUUGAGCAAAAAUUUGAAGGAGGUGGGGUUAACCCUCCAGAUACCAGAGAAGAGCAUCAAGCAGAGGGAAAAGCCAGUGUAAAAUCCCUUCAACAGAAUCAUGCCUAGAGUAUGAAGUGCAAGAGGGUUAAAUAAAGCAGAAGGUUUGGAGGAGAAAAGGAAUAGGAAAUGAGGCAGAGAAGUAAUGAGAUACAAGAGUCGUAGGCUAUUACAAAUAUUUUGGCUUCUAUCCUGAGAAAAUGAAAAGCCACUGUAGACUUUUGAGCAUGAUCUGAUCUAUUUUUCCAGGAUUACUCUGGACCAAAGGCAGAUGUGGAGACACCUGUUGGCGGCUUGCUCAGGAACCUAGACAGAGAGGGAGGCUCGGACCACAGGGGUGGCACCAGAGAGGAUUAGAAGCUGUCUCCUCCUGGAUGUGUUCUGCAGCUUCGAAGAGGGGGAAGAUGACCCUUAACAUGUGAAGAUGUUGGGGAAAAAAAAAGAGAUGAACCUAUGUUCCAGCCUAUGUUCUCAAGAUAAAUAUAACCCCUCCAGUGAUGAUCUUACAGGAACACCAUGAUUACCAGGUUACUGGAUCUUCUAAUCUCAAUAAUGGAAAACCACAGGGCAUAUAUCUGGAGAAAACCGUAUUUCAAAACGAUACACGCCACUCGAGUGUUUGUUGCAGCACUAUUUACAUAGCCAGGACAUGGAAGCAACCUAAAUGUCUAUCAACAGAGAAAUGGAUAAAGAAGAUGUGAGGCAGCAUUCUCCAAAAUGUAUUUUGACUAACAGAGGUUACUUAAAAAACAGGUUCUGGGGCCAGUUAAAUUUAAGAAAUUCUUGGAAGAAGAAUAAUCCUGCCCAAAUGGGGAGUAUAAAUAAACCAGCUGAAUUUUUACAGACUUUUAAUAGCUGCUGAUAUCAAAGAGCAAUUCCAUACCCACCUGCCAGUUCUCUCCUACAGAGCUUACACCUAGUGUACAACCAUCACACCUGACAGGCAGAAGACAGAACAAAAGGGCCUCAGAUCCUUCUGAAUCACCUAGGCCUUGCUGAGUGCAAAGCAGCUAUCCACUGAAGGCUGGAAGCAGAACAGAGCUGAGAGCCCCCGAGAACCACUGAGCCUUCACCAAAUGAAAAGGAGGAUGAAGAGAGAGCUGAAAAGACAAGGUAGAGUUCAACAGCAAAGUUAACUCCUGAACUACCCCAAUAGUUAACAGCUGGGCCAUUUUUGUCUCAGAAAAAUGGAAUAUGGAAAACUACAACCCAAAAGAAGGCAGGAAAAGAGAAACAAAAGGACGAACAAAUGGGGUAAACAAAUUCCAAGAUGGCAAAUUAAACCCAAACAUUAUCAAUCAGUUCAGUUCACUUCAGUCCAGUCGCUCAGUCGUGUCUGACUCUUUGCGACCCCAUGAAUUGCAGCACGCCAGGCCUCCCUGUCCAUCACCAACUCCCGGAGCUCACUCAGACCCACG
Long non-coding RNA from Bubalus bubalis (water buffalo), 4366 nucleotides. RefSeq lists it as uncharacterized. The record is from RefSeq and is a predicted model, not a curated record. NCBI's taxonomy places the organism in Eukaryota, Metazoa, Chordata, Mammalia, Artiodactyla, Bovidae. The transcript has 6 exons.